This 577-nucleotide ribosomal RNA is filed under the name Priestia aryabhattai. RNAcentral describes it as "bacterial SSU rRNA". It matches the Rfam family "Bacterial small subunit ribosomal RNA", at positions 153 to 716 of the family's 1533-position model. Lineage: Bacteria; Bacillati; Bacillota; Bacilli; Caryophanales; Bacillaceae. The record is from RNAcentral.
GAAACCGAAGCUAAUACCGGAUAGGAUCUUCUCCUUCAUGGGAGAUGAUUGAAAGAUGGUUUCGGCUAUCACUUACAGAUGGGCCCGCGGUGCAUUAGCUAGUUGGUGAGGUAACGGCUCACCAAGGCAACGAUGCAUAGCCGACCUGAGAGGGUGAUCGGCCACACUGGGACUGAGACACGGCCCAGACUCCUACGGGAGGCAGCAGUAGGGAAUCUUCCGCAAUGGACGAAAGUCUGACGGAGCAACGCCGCGUGAGUGAUGAAGGCUUUCGGGUCGUAAAACUCUGUUGUUAGGGAAGAACAAGUACAAGAGUAACUGCUUGUACCUUGACGGUACCUAACCAGAAAGCCACGGCUAACUACGUGCCAGCAGCCGCGGUAAUACGUAGGUGGCAAGCGUUAUCCGGAAUUAUUGGGCGUAAAGCGCGCGCAGGCGGUUUCUUAAGUCUGAUGUGAAAGCCCACGGCUCAACCGUGGAGGGUCAUUGGAAACUGGGGAACUUGAGUGCAGAAGAGAAAAGCGGAAUUCCACGUGUAGCGGUGAAAUGCGUAGAGAUGUGGAGGAACACCAGUGGC